CCUACGGGAGGCUGCAGUGAGGAAUAUUGGUCAAUGGACGAGAGUCUGAACCAGCCAAGUAGCGUGAAGGAUGACUGCCCUAUGGGUUGUAAACUUCUUUUAUAUGGGAAUAAAAUGUUCCACGUGUGGGAUUUUGUAUGUACCAUAUGAAUAAGGAUCGGCUAACUCCGUGCCAGCAGCCGCGGUAAUACGGAGGAUCCGAGCGUUAUCCGGAUUUAUUGGGUUUAAAGGGAGCGUAGGUGGAUUGUUAAGUCAGUUGUGAAAGUUUGCGGCUCAACCAUAAAAUUGCAGUUGAAACUGGCAGUCUUGAGUACAGUAGAGGUGGGCGGAAUUCGUGGUGUAGCGGUGAAAUGCUUAGAUAUCACGAAGAACUCCGAUUGCGAAGGCAGUUCACUGGACUGCAACUGACACUGAGGCUCGAAAGUGUGGGUAUCAAACAGGAUUAGAUACCCUUGUAGUC
Molecule: ribosomal RNA, 460 nt
Filed under: uncultured bacterium
Lineage: Bacteria
Description: partial 16S ribosomal RNA
Rfam family: Bacterial small subunit ribosomal RNA
Source: RNAcentral